GACGAACGCUGGCGGCGUGCUUAACACAUGCAAGUCGAACGGAAAGGCCCAAGCUUGCUUGGGUACUCGAGUGGCGAACGGGUGAGUAACACGUGAGUGACCUGCCCUUGACUUUGGGAUAAGCCUAGGAAACUGGGGCUAAUACCGGAUAGGAGCACCUCCUGCAUGGUGUGGGGUGAAGAUUUUUGGGUGUUGGGUAAGGUCUCGCGGCUUAUGCGCUUUUUGGUGGGGUAGUGGCUUACCAAGGUUGUGGCGGGGAGCCGCCCGGAGAGGGUGACCGGCCACAUUGGGACUGGGAUACGGCCAGGACUCCUACGGGGGGCAGAGGUGGGGAUUAUGCCCCAUUGGGGGGAGGCUGAUGGCGCCACCGCGGGUGGCGGGUUGCCGGCUUUCGGGUGGAAACCCGUUUCCGCAUGGGAGGAACCGUGAGUGACGGUAACGGGUGAAGAAGCACCGGCUAACUACGUG
This 468-nucleotide ribosomal RNA is filed under the name uncultured bacterium. RNAcentral's name for it is "partial 16S ribosomal RNA". It matches the Rfam family "Bacterial small subunit ribosomal RNA", at positions 28 to 507 of the family's 1533-position model. The record is from RNAcentral.